Molecule: ribosomal RNA, 1001 nt
Filed under: Microbacterium sp. CC 0524
Lineage: Bacteria; Bacillati; Actinomycetota; Actinomycetes; Micrococcales; Microbacteriaceae
Description: bacterial SSU rRNA
Rfam family: Bacterial small subunit ribosomal RNA
Source: RNAcentral
GUGCGCGGCAGUGCAGCUUGCAUGCCUGCAGGUCGACGAUUCAGAGUUUGAUCCUGGCUCAGGAUGAACGCUGGCGGCGUGCUUAACACAUGCAAGUCGAACGGUGAACACGGAGCUUGCUCUGUGGGAUCAGUGGCGAACGGGUGAGUAACACGUGAGCAACCUGCCCCUGACUCUGGGAUAAGCGCUGGAAACGGCGUCUAAUACUGGAUACGAGUAGCGACCGCAUGGUCAGUUACUGGAAAGAUUUAUUGGUUGGGGAUGGGCUCGCGGCCUAUCAGCUUGUUGGUGAGGUAAUGGCUCACCAAGGCGUCGACGGGUAGCCGGCCUGAGAGGGUGACCGGCCACACUGGGACUGAGACACGGCCCAGACUCCUACGGGAGGCAGCAGUGGGGAAUAUUGCACAAUGGGCGCAAGCCUGAUGCAGCAACGCCGCGUGAGGGAUGACGGCCUUCGGGUUGUAAACCUCUUUUAGCAGGGAAGAAGCGAAAGUGACGGUACCUGCAGAAAAAGCGCCGGCUAACUACGUGCCAGCAGCCGCGGUAAUACGUAGGGCGCAAGCGUUAUCCGGAAUUAUUGGGCGUAAAGAGCUCGUAGGCGGUUUGUCGCGUCUGCUGUGAAAUCCGGAGGCUCAACCUCCGGCCUGCAGUGGGUACGGGCAGACUAGAGUGCGGUAGGGGAGAUUGGAAUUCCUGGUGUAGCGGUGGAAUGCGCAGAUAUCAGGAGGAACACCGAUGGCGAAGGCAGAUCUCUGGGCCGUAACUGACGCUGAGGAGCGAAAGGGUGGGGAGCAAACAGGCUUAGAUACCCUGGUAGUCCACCCCGUAAACGUUGGGAACUAGUUGUGGGGUCCAUUCCACGGAUUCCGUGACGCAGCUAACGCAUUAAGUUCCCCGCCUGGGGAGUACGGCCGCAAGGCUAAAACUCAAGGAAUUGACGGGGACCCGCACAAGCGGCGGAGCAUGCGGAUUAAUUCGAUGCACGCGAAGAACCUUACCAG